Small nucleolar RNA from Jaculus jaculus (lesser Egyptian jerboa), 71 nucleotides. The record is from Ensembl. NCBI's taxonomy places the organism in Eukaryota, Metazoa, Chordata, Mammalia, Rodentia, Dipodidae.
UGUCCUGAUGAUACUAGCCUUAGGAAGUGCCGUCAGAAGCGAUAACUAAUGAUGUCUAUUCUUAUCUGACU